GCAAGUGCAUUACGAACCUUGUCGCCUUAAUGUUUGAUUGUGUGGCUUGUGUGCUUCUGGUGUGCUUCGUUGUUAAUUGGUAAUUUGACUCAAUAAUUUCCUUCUAAAAUUUAUUGGGCCGCGGGUUGGUAAAUUCCGAGCCAAUACUGCCGCAGGUUGGUAAACUCCGAGCCAACGCGCUGGUACUAAGUAAACACCAUGCAUGGGGCCCGGGCGUAGCACAUCUACAUUGUUGAGCACAUCACACUUAUUUAGAUAUUACGAUGUAGACAUGUAUGUUUCUUUACCUAUUAGUCGUAUUGUAUUAGUCACUUAAUCCAUGUUACCUUGUGAACAAAUAUAUUUGGCGUCUUCCGAUAUGCUGGGAUUUUGUGAA
This is a long non-coding RNA of Lolium perenne, 376 nucleotides long. RefSeq lists it as uncharacterized. Lineage: Eukaryota; Viridiplantae; Streptophyta; Magnoliopsida; Poales; Poaceae. The record is from RefSeq and is a predicted model, not a curated record.